AUCCGGUCCUGUCUACGCAUUAAGUUUAGUCAUGUUGCCUGCUGACUCUCAUAGCAACGUGCUGUCUCGUGUCGCUCUCUCCCAACGCCUCUGUCGCCGUUUCCGCCGUUUCGUUCAACAAUACGAGUUUUGUGAUUGAGUGAUUCCUGCCGUGAUUUAGGGGUCUCGCCGAUCCAAGUUUAUUUUUUAAGGGACUUCACCUUAAACCGAGUAUUUUCUAGCACCUUCCCCCCACUCUUCCUAAGUCCUAAGACGUCGCUACGAACCAGGUGUUUCCGCCGGCGCCCCGUCACCUCCGUCGCCCCGCCCCCCCAUCCAUAAUGGAGCCGUUCACCGCGGGCAUCCUGGCGGUGGGGGGCAUGAUCGCCGUGAUGCUGGCGGUCGUGGCUGCCCAGGAGAGCAACAGCAUCAAUAACAGGAAGAACAAGAACAAGAACAAGGCCCCGCCAAGCCCGCGGACGGAACAGAAAUCGCUCGAGGAGAAGAGAUACUGACUUCGAAACGUUUUAUUCUUAUUCUUUUUUAAAGAAAUCAAGAACAAUCUUUUAUUUCCUUCUCUUCCCACACACACCUUUUUUUUUACAUUUCUAUUUUUAGAUUUUUCGAAGAAAUCAAAAACAAUCUUUAUUUCUUUCUCUUCCCACACACACACCUUUUUUUUUACAUUUCUAUUUUUGGAUUUUUCGAUUUAUCUAAUUUUCUUUUUAAAAAAAUCUGAGAUUAGGAGUUCGUGAUGUGUGUUUUGGGGGAAAAUGUCUUUUGUUUUAAGUAUUAAUCACUGUGAAUUAUAUACUUGUUUUAGUUACUAUUAAUUUUAAUGAACUUGUGAUUAUUGCA
Long non-coding RNA from Penaeus monodon (black tiger shrimp), 837 nucleotides. RefSeq lists it as uncharacterized. The record is from RefSeq and is a predicted model, not a curated record. The transcript is spliced from 2 exons. Lineage: Eukaryota; Metazoa; Arthropoda; Malacostraca; Decapoda; Penaeidae.